RNAcentral lists this ribosomal RNA (418 nucleotides) under uncultured bacterium. RNAcentral describes it as "bacterial SSU rRNA". It matches the Rfam family "Bacterial small subunit ribosomal RNA", at positions 355 to 787 of the family's 1533-position model. The record is from RNAcentral.
UGGGGAAUAUUGGGCAAUGGGCGCAAGCCUGACCCAGCAACGCCGCGUGAAGGAAGAAGGCCCUCGGGUUGUAAACUUCUUUUAUCAAGGACGAAGCAAGUGACGGUACUUGAUGAAUAAGCCACGGCUAACUACGUGCCAGCAGCCGCGGUAAUACGUAGGUGGCAAGCGUUAUCCGGAUUUACUGGGUGUAAAGGGCGUGUAGGCGGGACUGCAAGUCAGAUGUGAAAACCAUGGGCUCAACCCAUGGCCUGCAUUUGAAACUGUAGUUCUUGAGUGUUGGAGAGGCAGGCGGAAUUCCGUGUGUAGCGGUGAAAUGCGUAGAUAUACGGAGGAACACCAGUGGCGAAGGCGGCCUGCUGGACAAUAACUGACGCUGAGGCGCGAAAGCGUGGGGAGCAAACAGGAUUAGAUACCC